This 371-nucleotide ribosomal RNA is filed under the name uncultured organism. RNAcentral describes it as "partial 16S ribosomal RNA". It matches the Rfam family "Bacterial small subunit ribosomal RNA", at positions 527 to 896 of the family's 1533-position model. The record is from RNAcentral.
GUAGGUGGCAAGCGUUGUCCGGAAUUAUUGGGCGUAAAGCGCGCGCAGGCGGUUCUUUAAGUCUGAUGUGAAAGCCCACGGCUCAACCGUGGAGGGUCAUUGGAAACUGGAGAACUUGAGUACAGAAGAGGAAGCGGAAUUCCACGUGUAGCGGUGAAAUGCGUAGAGAUGUGGAGGAACACCAGUGGCGGAGGCGGCUUUCUGGUCUGUAACUGACGCUGAGGCGCGAAAGCGUGGGGAGCAAACAGGAUUAGAUACCCUGGUAGUCCACGCCGUAAACGAUGAGUGCUAAGUGUUAGGGGGUUUCCGCCCCCCUUAGUGCUGCAGCUAACGCAUUAAGCACUCCGCCUGGGAGUACGGCCGCAAGGCUG